UACGUUCCCGGACCUUGCACACACCGCCCGUCAAGCCAUGGGAGCCGGGUGUACCUAAAGUCGGUAACCGCAAGGAGCUGCCUAGGGUAAAAUCAGUGACUGGGGCU
This 107-nucleotide ribosomal RNA is filed under the name uncultured bacterium. Its description in RNAcentral is "partial 16S ribosomal RNA". It matches the Rfam family "Bacterial small subunit ribosomal RNA", at positions 1367 to 1482 of the family's 1533-position model. The record is from RNAcentral.